UGAGUGUGUUCAAAGCGAGGAGAUUUGAGGAAGUGUGUCCUUCCUUCUCCUAAACUUAAAAUGUCAAGUCAGUGCAUUUUCGAUCACACUGCCUAAGUCGUACUGAAAUGUGUUCACAUCACUUCUGCCACAGAGCUCUACCCGUAGCAGGAUGGUGUCAAUGACCGAAGACUGUCACUCACCGGGGGAAGCUGAGCGCUGCGACAGAGGAAGGCACCUGAGGAGAGGGUGGACUCGUGGUUCCCAGCGGCAGGAACGGAGAGUGAGCUUACAUUAAGGUAGUUUAUUAACAGGAAACAGCUGGAGUCUUGUUCACAGACGGUGAGCUCCCUGUCUGAGGGUGCUGUCAGAGGGGAUGGGGUGACAUCCUCCGUCCUCGGGUCUUCACGCCCAGGAGAGCAAGGGCUCUAAGGGCUGGUGGGGCACCGGCCCAGGGCUCUCAGUCCUGUUUCCUGCUGUGGCCCGGAGUGUGAUACGCAGGGCGGCGAUGCCCAACUUCCCGCACCUCUGGGCUCCGUCCCGGGCAGUGGCCUGGCAGUGUGCAAGGAGGAUGCAUCCCGCUCAGCCUUCCCCUUUGUCCCACCAGCACGUGACAGUGACAGGUGAGUCCCUGGCCAGAAAGACCCGUGACAUGGAUGAAAGUGUGUGGAAGGACGCGAAGAAGGGGUGGACACCAAAUUUCUCUCCCUCAGCCACCUGAGGGCCUGCUCCGCCUCUUUCCUUCCCCGUGAGCUGCUGCUCCGGCCGGCUGUCUCCAGACUCCACCACCAGGAAGAGCGGGUGGAGAGGGCAGCAGGGGGCUUGUUCUCAGCAGAGGUGAGCGACUUUCAGAAAAGUCCCAAAGGCCGCAGAGAAUUUUCCCUGAACCUUUGGAGAACAGCGCCCACAGCAACCCGGGGAACUCAGCGUCUCUUGCACGAGCAUGUGCUCUGCUGAAAAUCACAGCAGAGGCAACGCAGUCAGGGCAUGGGCAGGACACACGGCCGCCAGCUCAUCCCCAAGUUUGCCCCCAAAUGCCCUUAAAAGGAUCUGUUCAGGAGACGGGUGUGGCAUUUAGCCGGCACAUUCAUGCAUCCCCAACACCGGGAGACCGCUCGCAGCCCCGCCUUUCCAGCCUGCACACGCGACAUCCCCCUCGGCCGAUGCUUCCUUGCACCUGGUCCAAGCCCAGCAUCUCCGGCAGGGCAGCCCAGGAGCCCUGGCCCCGUGCCCUCGGGAGGGCCAACGUCAUCUGCCUAGGAUGCUGAGUGGGGACAGGGCACUGCUGCUUUCUCCCUUGGUUAGUGCUAAGUACUGGGUGCAAGCAGAAAAUGCGGUGUGUUCAGAUCUAACAGUGAUUACGCCAGAAGGCGGGACGAGUUUGCUGCACUAAGAUCGCUCGGGAUUUUCGAAUUUGCGGCCUACUGAAGCCGGUGCGUAAGCAGGAGCAGCUUUUAACCCAGUUUCCCCGGGAAGCGCACAGGCGCUGUCCUGCGCUGAGCCCGCCACCGCUGCCGAGUUAGACGGCAUCGAGGUAAGAGGAAAACUUCAGCUCCUUCCUGGAUGACGGUGUGAGAGACUCCGGAGGCCUGGAGUCUCCGACCCCAGUGCACGUCCGUCCGCGGGGGCUUCCGCGGGCUGCGGUUCUCUCGGGGACGGACACUGGGGAUCCAAGCUGCAGGUCUGAGACUCGGGAAUCUGCAAACCUGCAGUGUCUGGAGCCAGAGGCAGGCGACCUCGGGCCCAGGCCACCUCCCGUCUGUUCACAAAGUCAGGGCAGCAGGAGGAGAGAGGCCGGGGCAGGAACGGCGUGAGCACGAAGUGCCCGGGUACGGGGCGCCAGCAACUGCUGGCCGUGACCUUCCUGCUCACCGCAGCCGCACAGGCAGGCCCCCCUCCACGCAGGCAGCCCCAGGCCCCAGGCCGAGUCAGGUGCCUCCUCACGUGCCCUCUGCAGUUACAAAACUCGGGAGAGGGAAGCCAGGGUGGGGAAGCCACCCUUUCCCACAUUUCUCCUUUCGGGGAUUUUGGAGAAGGCGGGGACCUCGGCCUCCCUGGGCGUGCGUGCUAACCAGCACUUCUUCCUUCUCAAUUCUGCUUCUCCUCAGCCGCUGCAGGAAGCCACCACACUGCCCACCUGUGUCAGAGGUGAACCCCUUCCCCGCCAGGGACCCGCAGCCCCCCACCCCUGACACAGUCAGAAAGAUGCGCAGGGGAAAGCUUCUUUUAGCCCAGGUCGGCCGACCCGGCUUCUUACCUUGCCCCUCUGAGGGGUUUCCGCUUGGGGCUCUGAGGCUCGCUCCCAGCCCUGCCCACCUUGUGACUUCCCGUGGGGCCGUCGCCACAACCCUGUUCCGGAACAGCUCUCCCCUCCAGCUCCACGCUGCCUUCUGGAUUCAGAGGAAGGGAGGGAGGGAGCGAGCGGGAAGUGAAGUACCUUCUCUUGCCCAAUGGACACAGGGAGCCCAGCCUGGCCACGCUCAGGAGCCCCGCCUGUCCGACCCUGGGCCUGCAGGGCUGCACAACCACACAGAGUCACCCUGCCCCCGGCACAGCGGCUCUCGCCUGUCUGCCCGUGGGUCUGGGGGUUGCCUUCGACAUAGUCCCAGUACACCCAAGGGCAGGGCAGACCUGACCCUGGGAGGGGUGCUUCCUGGCUCAUCCUCUGUGCAUAGCUCACAUGAGUGCAUCUCGAACACACACACACACACACACACACACACACACACAUGCACGCACACACACAUACACGCACACAUGCCCGGCCCUGGGGCCUUCCCUGAGCACCUCACUGCGAGGUGGAGCUUUUCUCACCCUUUUGCAAGCCCUGUCUGUUUACUUUGGGUGUUUUUCUCACCAGCCGCGCUCGUUGACUGCCGUUUCUCUCUUCCUCAUUGCGAAGGCUGCACUUAGCUGAACAGGAACUAGCAGAACACACCACGAUGUCCCAAGCGACCCUCGCGGGCACACUGUUGCACCACGGCUCCUGCCCUUUCACCUCCUCACACCCGAAGGCCCCCGCCAGGCCCACUCACAACUGAACUGUGCUUUAACGCCACCCGCUGAGAACCGGGAGAGCCCGAUGCACCGUACCUUGCGUGUUUUCAAGAUAGCAUUUGCAGUGUGUGCUCAUCCAGAUGCUAUAGGAGAAACUGAAAUGACUGCUCGGGUGGAACGGCUGGUCAUUGGAAACCUUGACGUCUGCACUGAGACCAAGUCUACUCAAGGGGCGCUCCAGGAGAUGAACCUGAGUUGGAGGAAGGAGUGGGAGCCGUGCAGGGUUUUCCCGGCAAGGGCGGCUGCGUGGACCACUGCCCCCUGCACUGCAGGGCUGGGCUCGGCCGCCUGCGCUGUUCCCGCUAUCCCUGGUUCGCAGCAGCAGCCGAGGCUCGGGCUCUGCCCCAGGCACGGGGCACGUCUGUGCAGUGCUAGGCAGGCAGGAAGCCCGAAGGGCCUCCCCCGGCCUGGUGCAGCCGAUGAGCCUGUUCCCAGGCUUCAGCUCUUCCCUGCCGGCUCUGCUUGUCGCUGGCUUGGGCUUUGGUGCCAGUAGGGCAGGGCCAGCUCCCCCACUCUGCGAGAUGCCCCUGCAAGUUUCCAUCCCCACUGCUGCUUGGGUGACCGCCUCCUGUCCCCUGCUCCCCUCCCCCCUGUCCACAGCGUGGUUGGGGGCAGCGCGGCCUCUCUGUGAGGCCCUCCAGGGUUCUCCUGGGUCUGCUGUCCCACCGCAGUGAGGAAGGUGGUACUUGCUAAGCCUCAGGGAUCUGGGCGUGCACUGGAUGCCGGCCUCAGAGAGGAGACUGACUGCUUGCAGACGGCGGGUUCAAGGGUGCUGUCGCCUCCUCCCCUCGCAACACGGCACAGAGGUCAGGGUCAUUCCCACUUCCCUGGGGAGGUCGCGCACAGAAGACCUGAUGCCUGCUCGUGCCUCUGGAGGAGUUGCUCCAGGGACAUCCACAGCUGAGUCCUCCUGCCUCAGCCUCCCAAAUGCUUGGACUACAGGCAUGUGCCACUACAGCCAGGCUGUUAGAUUACUUCUAACUCUAAACUUCACUUAGAUUUCACCAGACUUUCAGCUAAUUUUCUUUUUCUGAUUCAGCUCUGGUUACCACAUGGCACCCAGAACAAGUUAGGAUUAUUUUCUUCUCCAUAAAAUUAAAACAGCAAAAAUCUCUUCUUAGAGAGUAACAGUGGAUGAACUUUAUAAGAAGUGGGUAGAAUUAAUCCAUAAGAAACAAGGCAAACUGAGUGUGGUGCACAUGCCUAUAAUCGCAGCACUCAGGAGGCUGAGGCAGGAGGAUUGCCAUGAGUCUGAGGCCAGCUGGGGUUCAUGGUAUGUUCAACGCCAGCCUGAAAUGCAUAGUGAGACCCUGUCCCAAAAAGCCCCAGAAAACCACCCUCCCAAAGCCCAAAUCAAACCAAAGCAAACAAAAAACAUAAGGCAGUGAGUGUCUUAGGCUUUGCAGUCCAUACGACCUCUGCAGUAACUACUCAGCUCUGCCAUGAUAGAGCAGACAAUGACAUCAGGUAAGUGUGCAUGUGCAUACCUGUGUUCUAAUAAAACUUUAUUUAUAAAGAUGUGCAAAAGAAAAAAAGACAUGUACCUCAAUGGGCAAGUUUUGCUGACCUUCAACUUUAUUGAUCUGUGAUUCAGCAUCAAACUUGAUUUACCAGUCACAUACACUCUGCCUUCCCUUACUGGUACCAACCAUGUGGGACUUUUCUUUGUACUGCCCUUAGAUGAACGCUUGUGUGCUGAAGGAUCUACUCAGAUCCCUGUACCAUGGUGUAGACUGGAAGGGGCCAAACUCCCUUCACUGUUUUCUCUCCUAGGAGCUGUGCUCAGAGAUUCCCUGUGAAAGAUACUCCCCAGGCAUCACAGGGAUCCGCGCCGGCCACUUGUGAGAAUCAUGAUGUGAAAGUGCGGACUCCCUGCCUGCGGGCCAGGACUUCUGAGACAACCGUUCAGCCCAGCUAAGGAGCUCCGCGUACCUGGGGGGACUCUGCUGCGGCUCACUGGCUUUUCAGCAGUGACAGAUUCACUGCGUGCUCUGAGUCAAGCUUUUAUAAAAACGUGGGUUUUAUUUUUCAGAGAAGUACUUUAGGUUGAGAGCGAAGUCCAAGAGUCCCCACGUACCCGUCCUGCGCGUGGGCAGCGUUCUGAGCCCAGUGCUCGGUGCUGCUCAGUUCGGGCUGCGCUUGCUCUGCCCCGGGCUGCGCCGGCGUUGAACACCCUGCGGGGUGUGUCUCUGAGGGUUUGGAAGGAGACCCAUGCUUGAACCCACAGACUGAGGAAAGCACCUGACUGAGAGAGUGGGUGACCUUCUCCGGCUGGCUGCAGCGUCCCCUCGGUCAGGGGCCCGGAGGGAGCCCUUCCGGCCGGACCCGCUGAUCCGGGCCCCGCGCUCCCUCCCUCCCACUGGAGCUGAACACGUGGGCCCAGCCUGUCUCCAGCUGCGCCGUCAGCCUUCCCGGGUGUGCGGGCCGUGGGACUCGUCAGACUCCAGAGACACAGGACCUGACCCCCUACACUACAUCUGUCUCUGUUGGCUCUGUUUCUGGAGCAGGGAUCCCCAGUCCCCAGGCCAGGAACCCACGCCUGAUAAGAACCCAUCCUGUCACUGCCUGGCCCUGCCUCCUGUCAGAGCUGCGGUAGCGCUGGAGCCCCUCCGAGAGCUGUGCGCAGCGAUCGAGGCUGUGAGUCCUCUGAGGCCUGAGACCCUUCCAGCUGCCGCCCCCAGCCCCAACUACUGCCACAAAACCGGCCUCUGACACCAAAAAGACCGGGGACCUCUGCCCUGGGGAACCGGCGCCCGCACGCUGGCCCCUGCGCCGCAGCACACACUUCUCUCAGUGGGUGGUCUAUCCGCACAGGCUUCACCCAGAGUCCACCGUGCAGUCGUGCUUGAGGUCUUUUACCAAUUUUUAAAAAGUGUGUUAUGUGCUUACUGUUGAAUUUUGAGUUCCUUGUGCAUUUUGUGUGAUAGACCUCUAUCAAAAAUGUCGUUCGCAAACAUCUUCUGCCAGUAUUUUAGUGCCCCCGUUUACGGCUUGUCUGUCUCUUCCCACUGUCUUCCUCAGCGUAGAAGGUUUAAAUUUUGGCACGGUCGCACUUCCCAAGGGUCUCGCCUGUGACCCAGGCCUUGGACGCUGAGGCUGGAAGUCAUCACCAAGCCCACAUCAUCUCAAUUUUCUUUUCUCUUGCGAUUAGGAGUUACGUGAUUUUGCAUUCCAGUUAAUUUUCAUGAAAUAUGUCUAGAUUUAUUUUUUAAAUAAGUGCGAUGCCCAGUGGCCCUGGCACGCUUUGCGGAAGCUUUCUUCAUCAAGCAGCCGAUUCCUUGUUGAAGACUGUCUGUGUCUGGGGGCAUCAGCUGGCCUCUCCCCUGCUGCGUUGCGGAUAGUACUGUCUUGAUUGCUGCCCCUGGUACGUAAGCCUUGAGACUGGGAAAUCAGUCCUCCCACUUUGUCCUCCUUCAAUAUUGUAUUGGGUUUGUUAAUCUCUUAAAAUUUUUUUAUGAAACUUAGCAAUAAAAUUUUUUAACCGUAUGUCUUUUUUACGACACAUAAACUGCAUAUUGCUUUUAACUGAAAUAUCAUAUAGGUGUGUAUAUAAAAUUUGAAAAUCUUUACUUAUAGGUCUUACUUUCCCCCUCUCAGAACUUCCAAACUGUCAUGUAGCUCUAAUGCUCUUGUUUUCUAGACUUU
Molecule: long non-coding RNA, 6681 nt
Organism: Chinchilla lanigera (long-tailed chinchilla)
Lineage: Eukaryota; Metazoa; Chordata; Mammalia; Rodentia; Chinchillidae
Exons: 4
Source: RefSeq, a predicted model, not a curated record